CCCUGCAGGAUAAGUUAAGCACGCUUCUUCCCUUUGUGCUGUCAUUAACAGUCGGCUUUCUCCACGCAUGCUGCGCUGAAAUGUCUGUUUCUGCUGUCUUCCCCCGCCAGGUACCAGCUCUGUGCAGAGGAACAGAAAGAUAGAAGGUCAACGAGAACCCCUCUUGUCCUAAUGCAUAAACCAGAGUUCAUGCUGCUGACGCCCCGGAUCUCACUAGUGACUACACUGCAGGAGGAAUCUGGGUGUUCGGUGGCACCAUUCCGAGGGAAAGGAGAUGUCGCCUGCUUGGCGUCCCACAGCUAGCCUCGAGGAGCCGCAGAAGGGGCCUGGGGACCGAGAAAUCUGGAAUCUGAUUACGUGUGCGUCACUGAGUCACGCUCUGACCUUAGGUAGUGGGAAAUAUCUUUCCGGGCUUAAGACCUCGGACCCAAGCCAGACAUACAAGAUCCGUGACCUUGGGCAAGUUACGUAACCUUCUGUACCGUCAUUUUCUUAUCUGUCCAUUGGGUCUGAAAUGUUACCAACCUCACAGAGUUGUUAUAAAGGAUAAUCAUGUUAAUUACAAAUAACAUUUCAAUGGCAUGACAAACACAUAGUUAAGCACUGUGCCCAGAUUUUCUAUUAUCACUUGAUGGUUUCUUCAUCUACAGAUAGUCCCCGUGACUCAACCCUGCAUCCCCAUGAAGCAAUCAAGAAGCCUGCCCCUUGGAAACAGCUCAGGCUUUCUGCAGAAUGUUUUUUUGCUGUCUGCAAAGACCAUACAGAUUGUUUCACUUCAAACCAACUUAGCAAACAUUAACUGAGCACCUGCUAUAUUUAAGGCCCUGGGUCAAGUACUCUGAGGAUACGUUAAUGAACCAGGGACUGCCCUCGAGGAAGCCUGUGCUCUGGCACAAGCGGGACCUAAAGGUGUCCAUUUCUCAAAGCGCUCAUCACCAGCGCGGGGAACAGGAUGGCCAAGUAGGCGGUGCCUGGGGGGCCCGCUCACACGUCACCCGGGUCCAACCUGCCUGCAGCUGGCACCUGCCACCUGUAACCUGGGGCAGGCGACGUAACUCAGCCGGGUCUUAGUCUCCUCGUUUGUCAGACUGUGCGCAAAAGUGGCUCCUACCUCGUGGGCUUGUAGUGCAAGUUCAGGGAAGUGUUCUAUGCCAAGGGCCCAGCAAGGAGCCUGGCAAAGCCUCUCAGGUGAUAGCUAUUUUUAUUAUGAUUAAUCUAGGGAGC
Molecule: long non-coding RNA, 1224 nt
Organism: Panthera uncia (snow leopard)
Lineage: Eukaryota; Metazoa; Chordata; Mammalia; Carnivora; Felidae
Exons: 3
Source: RefSeq, a predicted model, not a curated record